This 1408-nucleotide long non-coding RNA is filed under the name Sorghum bicolor (sorghum). Its description in RNAcentral is "long non-coding RNA (SBIC_LNC013588)". Lineage: Eukaryota; Viridiplantae; Streptophyta; Magnoliopsida; Poales; Poaceae. The record is from RNAcentral.
CCGAUAUUGUUUCAAAAAAGAUCACACUAUGCCACUGACACAAAAAUCAUCAAAGUCAGGCAUAGAAACCUAUGGAAGACAUCCUUGACCGUGCCACGCCAUUGCCAUUGUCCACACCACCAUCCGCCACCACUGAUUCGCACCAUGCUCAUACAUGUAGUUUCACAAAUAACGAGUAAUUUUAGUCGUUUAUCAUAAAGUUUUGCCUCAUACACGUAGUUUCACAAAUAACAGAUAAUUUUAGACCUCUUCACUUACCAACAUAUAUGCAUAAAAAAUAACUAAUACUAGAAAAUUUAAGAAGCACAUAGAAAAUAAUUAGUGACAUGUUUACAGGUACAAAAAAAGCAUAUGAAACCAUGCUUGCUUGCAUUGCUAGUUCUUAGUAUUGUAUAAAAAUAGUUGCACAAAGACAUGAAAUUCUAGAAACACAUGAAGCAUAGAUACAUCUAGCUACAACAUCUCCAUCUUGAAAAAAAACAUGAGACAACAUGGAGCAUAGAAAACUUUUACACAUGAAACAUAAAAAUUGUGACCACAUCCAUCCCGAACUUAUCAUCCAAAGAAAGCUCGAUCUAAAAUACCUCUUGCUAACAACAUCCAUCACACAUGAAGCAUAGAAAUUAACAUGGAGCACAACUUUUACACAUGAAGGAUGUCAUUUUCACAUCGGUGCUUCCUUCCAACCAUCCUACAUCAGAAUAAGGUAUAGAAACAUGUUUUGGAAGGCGCAGAAACCUUACAGCGGCAAAAGAAAAAGCAUAGAAACAAGUUUUAGUAUGCACAUAUACCUUAUAGCUGCAAGAAAGACAUGUAAACUUAUUUUACUGACACAAAGAUCUAUUAUGGUCCCAACCCAAACCUUGCCUCCCACUUGGAUGAAUGAGUAAUCAAUAAAGAAACAAUGCGUAGAACCCUAAAUAAUUAUUUUAACUUUGAGGGUGUAUAAUUAACAAAGGAGCAAUGCAUAAAACCCCAAAUACCCUCCAUUCAAGGGGAUUAUUGUACCAGGAACGUGGCAGCCAUAACCCAAAGAAUACAUAGAACAAUGUAUAGAAUUGUGUACCAACAAUGUAGAAGUAAAACUUUCAACUAAAAUACACAAGUACACACAUAUAUACAAACAACAAACUAAGAUUGUUCAUGGACAUAUGAACAUACUACAAGUAAAUGUCCAAAAGCAGGUUCAGGCAUAUAUGCCAAAUGCCAUGGACUUACUGGUAUAAAUACUGAAAUAGUCACCCAAAGAUAGCAACGGUACCUAUGAUUGGCCAAAAGCACCAUGGGCAGCAGCUCUGCAACACCACUGCAUCCUCUAUUGCAUCCAUGUCCAUGCUGCCAAAAAUAUAUUAGUCUCACAUAUUUCUAUUGGAAGUCACGCCAGCCACCUCCACCCAACCCACCAUAG